UAAUUGAAGAGUUUGAUCAUGGCUCAGAUUGAACGCUGGCGGCAGGCCUAACACAUGCAAGUCGAGCGGUAACAGGGGAAGCUUGCUUCUCGCUGACGAGCGGCGGACGGGUGAGUAAUGUAUGGGGAUCUGCCCGAUAGAGGGGGAUAACUACUGGAAACGGUAGCUAAUACCGCAUAAUCUCUCAGGAGCAAAGCAGGGGAACUUCGGUCCUUGCGCUAUCGGAUGAACCCAUAUGGGAUUAGCUAGUAGGUGAGGUAAUGGCUCACCUAGGCGACGAUCCCUAGCUGGUCUGA
RNAcentral lists this ribosomal RNA (296 nucleotides) under Providencia rettgeri. Its description in RNAcentral is "partial 16S ribosomal RNA". It matches the Rfam family "Bacterial small subunit ribosomal RNA", at positions 1 to 295 of the family's 1533-position model. The record is from RNAcentral. Lineage: Bacteria; Pseudomonadati; Pseudomonadota; Gammaproteobacteria; Enterobacterales; Morganellaceae.